RNAcentral lists this ribosomal RNA (1356 nucleotides) under Triticum aestivum (bread wheat). Its description in RNAcentral is "partial small subunit ribosomal RNA". Lineage: Eukaryota; Viridiplantae; Streptophyta; Magnoliopsida; Poales; Poaceae. The record is from RNAcentral.
AUGAACUUUUCCCCAAUAAACCCCUUCUUCCAUCAAGACAGACAGACAGUUCCGUGGGCACCAGAACCACCCCUUCCGUUCAGACGCGGCGGAAGAUCGAAUCGGCCGCGCACGCCGAUGGCUCCUCCGCCGCCGCCGCUUCCUCUCCUCCUCCUUCCCCUCCUCCUGCUGGCGGCCUUCUCCGCCGCCGAGGAGUUUCCGCGCGACGGGAAGGUGAUAGACCUGGACGACAGCAACUUCGAGGCGGCCCUCAGCUCCAUCGAUUUCCUCUUCGUCGACUUCUACGCGCCAUGGUGCGGCCACUGCAAGCGCCUCGCUCCCGAGUUAGAUGAAGCUGCACCGGUGUUGGCGGGAUUGAGUGAGCCCAUCAUGGUUGCCAAAGUAAAUGCUGACAAGUACAGGAAGCUUGGAUCAAAAUAUGGAGUGGAUGGGUUCCCUACUCUAAUGCUCUUUAUACACGGGGUCCCUAUUGAAUACACCGGUUCAAGGAAAGCUGACUUGCUUGUCCGCAAUCUUAAGAAGUUUGUUGCGCCUGAUGUUUCUACUCUCGAGUCGGAUUCUGCAAUCAAGAGCUUUGUUGAGAAUGCCGGCACAAGCUUUCCGAUGUUCAUCGGUUUUGGGGUCAAUGAUUCACUGAUUGCUGAAUAUGGAGGAAAAUACAAGAAAAGAGCAUGGUUUGCCGUCGCAAAAGAUUUUUCUGAGGACUGGAUGGCGACAUAUGAUUUUAAUAAGAUCCCAGCAUUGGUUGCAGUUCAUCCAAAGUAUAAUGAACAAAGUGUGUUCUAUGGCCCAUUUGAAGGACGUUUCUUGGAAGAUUUUAUAAGGCAAUCGCUGCUGCCUUUGACUGUCCCCAUCAACACCGAGACACUGAAAUUGCUGGAUGAUGAUGACAGAAAAGUUGUCCUCGCAAUUUUGGAGGAUGACUCAGAUGCAAAUUCUACGCACCUGGUAAAAGUUUUGAGGUCUUUUGCUCAUGCGAACCGUGAUUUGGUGUUUGGAUAUGUUGGAGUCAAACAAUGGGAGGAGUUUGUGGAGACUUUUGAUGUUUCCAAGAGCUCACAAUUGCCAAAGCUGCUAGUGUGGGACAGAAAUGAAGAGUAUGAACUAGUGGAGGGUUCAGAAAAGUUAGAAGAAGGCGACCAAUCAUCCCAAUUAAGCCAAUUCCUCGAGGGAUAUAGAGCAGGGAGAACAAUAAAGAAGAAAGUCAGUGGGCCUUCCUUCAUGGGUUUCAUGCACUCUCUUGUCAGCAUGAACUCGUUAUACAUUCUCAUGUUUGUUGUUGCUCUUCUCGGUGUCAUGAUGUACUUUGCUGGCCAAGAUGAUACUCCUCAGCCAAGACGGGUUCAUGACGAGUGA